This 655-nucleotide ribosomal RNA is filed under the name Amphistegina lessonii. Its description in RNAcentral is "SSU rRNA". It matches the Rfam family "Eukaryotic small subunit ribosomal RNA", at positions 1176 to 1804 of the family's 1831-position model. Lineage: Eukaryota; Foraminifera; Rotaliida; Amphisteginidae. The record is from RNAcentral.
GUGCAGCAUGUGGCUUAAUUUGACUCACGCGGGGAAUCUUACUAGGUCAGGACCAUCGCGAGUCGGUUUCGAUUCGUAUUGUAUGAUUGUCGCAGUGUCGCUGCUACAAAAUUAAUUGGAUGAGUGGUGCAUGGCCGUUCUUAGUUCGUGAUGCAAUUUGUCUACUUAAUUGUUGGUUACGUAUGAUUCACGUCAUCGUAACCGUAACGAACGAGACCGUGUUGUGUACCGUAGCUGGCGACACUGCUUCGAUCAUCGGUACAUACACAGAGCAAAUCGAAACUUGCUAGGAAGGACGCGGCAAUAACAGGUCUGUGAUGCCCUCAGAUGUUCUAGGCCGCACACGUGCUACAAUCUGAUUGUCAGUUGUGUCGCGUGUGUGUAAGAUUCACCGCAGCGAGUCGAACCAACGCCAGCUGGUUGGAACUAUCGUUUGUAACUAUUCGAUACGACAACUAGGAAUGCCUCGUACGGUGGGUUCAACAGAUUCCCUGGAAUCCGUCCCUGCCCUUUGUACACACCGCCCGUCGCUCUUACCGAUGGUGGUAGGUUCGAGUUGCGAGGAGUCUCACGUAUCCGGUUCCGAUCGGGUUAACGGGGCGAAUCGUAACGAGAACCUACUGCUAAAGGAAAGAGAAGUCGUAACAAGGCAUCG